This 412-nucleotide long non-coding RNA is filed under the name Cricetulus griseus (Chinese hamster). RNAcentral's name for it is "lncRNA (ENSCGRG00015033187.1)". Lineage: Eukaryota; Metazoa; Chordata; Mammalia; Rodentia; Cricetidae. The record is from RNAcentral.
CUUAACAUGUCUUGCAGCAGAAACCACGGAAUACAAUGGAUGAGGAGAAAAAUAAAAUUAAUCCUAAUGACUGAAUACAAUAAACCAAAGAGAAAAGCAUCCUUGGCAUCACUUCCAGUAUCAGACAGUGAUGGAGCAUCUUUAAAGAGAAACAGUAUUUCAGAAGCAGGAAUCUACUUUGAUGUACAUGUUACAGGAUCAGAUGCCUCAGAACUUUUCAUACUAUACUCCUGCAAAGCUUGGAAUCAAUGCUGAAAUUGCUAAUAUCCAUGGUUUCUGUCUCCUUUGUAUGACAUUAAUAGUCUGCUUUACCUGGGAUAAUGUAAAAUUUUCUUUUUUGAGAUAGGUAACCACAAUUGGUAUCUGGAAUGUACCCAGAGAUUCCCUGGUAAGAAAUUAUCUGCUGACAAUG